UUUGAAAUCUGGCUCUUUCAGAGUCCGAGUUGUAAUUUGAAGAAGGUAUCUUUGGGUCUGGCUCUUGUCUAUGUUUCUUGGAACAGAACGUCACAGAGGGUGAGAAUCCCGUGCGAUGAGAUGAUCCAGGCCUAUGUAAAGUUCCUUCGAAGAGUCGAGUUGUUUGGGAAUGCAGCUCUAAGUGGGUGGUAAAUUCCAUCUAAAGCUAAAUAUUGGCGAGAGACCGAUAGCGAACAAGUACAGUGAUGGAAAGAUGAAAAGAACUUUGAAAAGAGAGUGAAAAAGUACGUGAAAUUGUUGAAAGGGAAGGGCUUGAGAUCAGACUUGGUAUUUUGUAUGUUACUUCUUCGGGGGUGGCCUCUACAGUUUAUCGGGCCAGCAUCAGUUUGGGCGGUAGGAGAAUUGCGUUGGAAUGUGGCACGGCUUCGGUUGUGUGUUAUAGCCUUCGUCGAUACUGCCAGCCUAGACUGAGGACUGCGGUUUAUACCUAGGAUGUUGGCAUAAUGAUCUU
Molecule: ribosomal RNA, 511 nt
Filed under: Candida tropicalis
Lineage: Eukaryota; Fungi; Ascomycota; Pichiomycetes; Serinales; Debaryomycetaceae
Description: partial large subunit ribosomal RNA
Rfam family: Eukaryotic large subunit ribosomal RNA
Source: RNAcentral